AGGAUGGCGACCGGCGCACGGGUGAGUAACACGUAUCCAACCUGCCGAUAACUCGGGGAUAGCCUUUCGAAAGAAAGAUUAAUACCCGAUGGUAUAAUUAGACCGCAUGGUCUUGUUAUUAAAGAAUUUCGGUUAUCGAUGGGGAUGCGUUCCAUUAGGCAGUUGGUGAGGUAACGGCUCACCAAACCUUCGAUGGAUAGGGGUUCUGAGAGGAAGGUCCCCCACAUUGGAACUGAGACACGGUCCAA
RNAcentral lists this ribosomal RNA (248 nucleotides) under uncultured bacterium. RNAcentral's name for it is "partial 16S ribosomal RNA". It matches the Rfam family "Bacterial small subunit ribosomal RNA", at positions 85 to 334 of the family's 1533-position model. The record is from RNAcentral.